RNAcentral lists this long non-coding RNA (2201 nucleotides) under Homo sapiens (human). Its description in RNAcentral is "non-protein coding LINC01446:8". The record is from RNAcentral. Lineage: Eukaryota; Metazoa; Chordata; Mammalia; Primates; Hominidae.
GGGGUGUGGGAUGCUGAGCUUAAUACUUCAGUGAUGGGAUGAUCUGUGCAGCAAACUACAAUUGCAUACAUUUACCUAUGUAACAAACAUGCACAUCCUACACAUAUACCCGUCAACUUAAAAGUUGGAAAUUUUAAAAAAUGAGAUAAAAAUUGCUCUACAAAAUGAAGUCUUUAAAAAAUGGGAAAAUUGUAAUCUCUUACUGAUAUCGCAGUUAUUAUGCAUCAUUUCUCAGAACCUUAUGAAGAUUAUUGCUGAAAUAGGAACCAACACAUUGUUUUUGUUAUUGAUCAGAAAGAAUUAAGAAAGCUUAGGCUGGGCACAGUGGCUCAAGCCUGUAAUCCCAGCACUUUGGGAGUCCAAGGCAGGUGGAUCACCUGAGCUCAGGAAUUCGAGACUAGCCUGGACAACAUGGCAAAACCCUGUCUCUACUAAAUAUACAAAAAUUAGUUGGGCAUAGUGGCGGACUCCUGUAAUCCCAACUUCUCAGGAGGCUGAGGCAGAAGAAUCACUUGAAUUAGGGAGGUGGUGCUCCAGCCUAGGUGACAGAGCAAGACUCCAUAUCCCCCAUGGCCUCCCCAACCCCCCCAGAAAAGAAAGUAAAAAAGAAAGCUCACCAUCUUCGUGGCACAAGCCAACAAGGUUGAAAAAGCCAAAGAUGCCAACAUUUACUGCUUUUUGAUUUUUUGAUUAUGGCCAUGCUUGCAGGAGUGAGGUGGUAUCACAUUGUGGUUUUGAUUUGCAUUUCCCUGAUCAUUAGUGAUGUUGAGCAUUUUUUUGUGUUUGUUGGCCAUUUGUAUCUCUUCUUUUGAGAAUUGUCUAUUCAUGUCCUUAGCCCACUUUUUGAUGGGGUUGUUUGUUUAUUUCUUACUGAUUUGUUUGAGUUCGUUGUAGAUUCUGGAUAUUAGACCUUUGACAGAUGUAUAGAUUGCAAAGAUUUUCUCCCACUCUGUGGGUUGUUGGUUUACUCUGCUGACGGUUCCUUUUGCCGUGCAAAAGUUCUUUAGUUUAAUUAGAUCCCAGAUAUUUAUCUUAGUUUUUAUUCCAUUUGUGAUGAACAGGGAACCCCUCUACAAUGCUUGUGGGAAUGUAAACUAGUACAGCAACUGUGGAAAACAAUGUGGAGAUUCCUUAAAAUGUAAAAGUAGAACUACCGUUUGAUCCAGGAAUCCCACUACUGGGUGUCUACCCAGAGGAAAAGAAGUCAUUAUUCGAAAAAGAUACUUGCACACACAUGUGUACAGCAGCACAAUUCACAACUGCAAAAUAGUGGAAGCAACCCAGAUAGAUGCCCACCAAUCAAUGAGUGGAUAAAGAAACUGUGAUAUAUAUACACACAAUGGAAUACUACACAGCCAUAAAAAUGAAUGAAUUAAUAACAUUUGUGGAGACCUGGAUGAGAUUGGAGACUAUUAUUCUAAGUGAUGUAACCCGGGAAUGGAAAACCAAGCAUCAUAUAUUCUCAAUGAUAUGUGGGAGCUAAGCUAUGAGGACGCAAAGGCAUAAGAACAAUACAAUGGACUCUGGGGACUUGGGGGGAAGAGUGGAAGGGAAGCGAGGGAUACAAAACUACAAAUAUGGUGCAGUGUAUGCUGCUUGGGUGAUGGAUGCACCAAAAUCUCACAAAUCACCACUAAAGAACUUAGACAUGUAACCAAAUACCACCUGUACACCAAUAACAUAUGAAAAAAUAAAAUUUAAAAAAAGCCAAAGACAAGUGAACGAAAGGAGUAAUUGAUGGCCAUGAUUUCCAAGUAGAUUUGCUGGGUCAAGAUCAAGGUCAGGGAAAAAUUUACACACUGUGAAUUUUUUUUAUCUGCACUGAAGUUGAAUAGAAAAUUUGAAUUCAUACUUAUGGGGUCACAGUAUGUCUAAUUUUAAAAUAGAUGCAUAUGCUCUAUUCACUUAAUUGUCUUUUAUUGUAUACAAUAAGCAUUACAUACACAGGGUAAGGAAUUAAGUAGCUAUAAAGGAAAAUAGGAUGAAAUGAUGCAUUCCUCUUCUCCAUUUUUUCUAGAAACAAUGUUAAACCGAAAUGAUUCUAAAAAUAUAGUUACUCAUUCUUGAGGUAUUUUUUUCUAUUUUUCAGUAGACUAUUAAUAAUAUUUGUAAAACAACCCAUUAAUAAAUAACAUAAUCUAUAGGCAUAAAAAAGAAACCAUGUAUGGAAAACAAAAUGCUAACAACAAAAAUUUGAACCA